UGGGGAAGUGCAAUGUUGUCGCAGAAAGGUUGUUCCCUCUCCAGAUCCAGUGGACGAAGGAACAGACCUCAGGAGAAUUACUUGUAAAAAUUGGCGCUGUACACAGGGAAGGAAGACUGAAAAGAGCAGUUGCAGCUCAUCAAGGAGACGACUGCAGUCCUGCCUGGCUUAGCAAGGGGAUGCUUGCGCCUUUCUCUCUUCCUCCUUCCCGGCUCAGCAGACUGGAUGAAUCUGUGAACGAAAGGAAGACCUGGAUGCCUUCACAUCCGCCACCCCUUCUUCAAACUGCUGGAAUCACAGGUUCCAGUGGGAGCUGUCCAUCACCCAUCAUCGGGGAACCCCGUCUGCUAUCAUGGACACAUAAUCCAGGCUCCUUCAAGCCUGGAGCGUAC
Molecule: long non-coding RNA, 392 nt
Organism: Neogale vison (American mink)
Lineage: Eukaryota; Metazoa; Chordata; Mammalia; Carnivora; Mustelidae
Exons: 4
Source: RefSeq, a predicted model, not a curated record